UGAGGUUUGAUUGUCUGUUGAUUCUCAGGUCUCAGGUUGUGGUUCUUCCUGCCCGCUGUGAGCCUGAAAUCAGAUUCCUGAGUGAUGUGGAAGGUCAGGGCAUGGAAAAGGUCCAGGCAGAACAGACCAGUAUUUGGAGAGAAACUUCAAUGAUGUGGAUUAAUCACCAAGCACAUAUGGCCAGGAAACCCUUCGAAGUGCAGAGGCAGGGGAAGGCAGGGAGAAAAUGCCCCCGAAUGUGUGUUUGGGGUCUGGACCAUUUUUGAGAAAAUGCUGAAUAAAUAAAUUCGUCUACUCCCAGAGAGCUGCCAGCAAAUUGAGAAAUGGCUGUCUCAAACUCUGGACAGAGAAGAUAAAUGCU
Long non-coding RNA from Psammomys obesus (fat sand rat), 361 nucleotides. RefSeq lists it as uncharacterized. NCBI's taxonomy places the organism in Eukaryota, Metazoa, Chordata, Mammalia, Rodentia, Muridae. The transcript is spliced from 3 exons. The record is from RefSeq and is a predicted model, not a curated record.